GAGGUAUUAAAGCCAAAGAAAAAAGCUUCUAACUUUACUCUAAGCGGUUAAAUUCCGUUUAUACCUCU
RNAcentral lists this transfer RNA (68 nucleotides) under Austinograea alayseae. RNAcentral describes it as "tRNA-Ser". The record is from RNAcentral. Lineage: Eukaryota; Metazoa; Arthropoda; Malacostraca; Decapoda; Bythograeidae.